RNAcentral lists this non-coding RNA (45 nucleotides) under Schistosoma mansoni. The record is from RNAcentral. Lineage: Eukaryota; Metazoa; Platyhelminthes; Trematoda; Strigeidida; Schistosomatidae.
AUUAAGCUGACGGGCCCCGAAUAGGGCGAAACCCGCGUCUUGGAU